GUUAGAAUGACGCGCAGGGACAAAAGUGCUUCGUUUCCUCUUUGUGGUAGUUUCUUCGUUCAUUCACGACGUCGGUGUUUACUGCCUAUUGCAAGCGAGUCGCUUGAGGAACUAUCCGAGUGACACACAGCACAAGCAGCCUCAGGGGAGCCCCAGGUGUGCUCUCCACAGGCUGCUUGUGCUGUGUGUCACUCGGAUAGUUCCUCAAGCGACUCGCUUGCAAUAGGCAGUAAACACCGACGUCGUGAAUGAACGAAGAAACUACCACAAAGAGGAAACGAAGCACUUUUGUCCCUGCGCGUCAUUCUAACCAUGGAUUGUGGGUCCUGAGGUGUGUGAGGGGCUGUGGUGUGUGUGUCCUGAGAUGUGUGAGAGGCUGUAUAUGUGUCCUGAGAUGUGUGAGGUGUUGUGUGUGUGUCCUGAGGUGUGUGAGGGUUGUGUGUGUCCUGAGGUGUGUGAGGUGUUGUGAGUCCUGAGGUAUGUGAGGGGUUGUGUGUGUGUCCUGAGGUGUGUGAGGGUUGUGUGUAUUCUGAGGUGCAUGAGGGGUUGUGUGUGUCCUGAGGUGUGUGAGAUGUUGUGUGUGUGUCCUGAGGUGUGUGAGAGGUUGUGUGUGUCCUGAGGUGUGUGAAAGUUGUGUGUGUCCUGAGGUGUGUGAGGGUUGUGUGUGUGUGUCCUGAGGUGUGUGAGGUGUUAAGUUGUGUGUGUCCUGAGGUGUGUGAGGUGUUAAGUUGUGUGUGUCCUGAGGUGUGUGAGGGUUGUGUGUGUGUCCUGAGGUGUGUGAGGGUUGUGUGUCCUGAGGUGUGAGAGGGUUGUGUGUGUGUCCUGAGGUGUGUGAGGGGUUAUGUGUGUCCUGAGGUGUGUGAGGGUUGUGUGUGUGUCCUGAAGUGUGUGAGGUGUUGUGUGUGUGUCCUGAGGCGUGUGAGGGUUGUGCGUUUCUUGAGGUAUGUGAGGGUUGUGUGUGUCCUGAGGUGUGUGAGGGUUGUGUGUGUUUCCUGAGGUGUGUGAGGGUUGUGUGUAUUUCCUGAGGUGUGUGAGGGUUAUGUGUGUAUUUCCUGAGGUGUGUGAGGGUUAUGUGUGUGUCCUGAGGUGUGUGAGAGUUGUGUGUGUGUCCUGAGGUGUGUGAGGGUUGUGUGUGUGUCCUGAGGUGUGUGAGGUGUUGUGUGUGUGUCCUGAGGUGUGUGAGGGUUGUGUUUGUUUCUUUGCUCCUCUCAGGUUCCGUUCUGAGUUCCUGAAUGUAUCCUCCGUCUACAGGAGAGAGGGGGCUCUGGUCCUGACUUGGCUUCCUCCUGUCUUUGCUGAUGGAAGCUGGGUUUUGAUGAGAAACUUCUCCUGGCAUGCUAAGGUCUACUCACAGCAAAUGUAAAGUCUUAGAGGUCGAAGGCCUUGAUAACUGCCUUUCCUGACCUUGCACUGUUUCUAGUGAGUUUAAUUUAAUACAAAGCAAAACAAGUUUGAUGAUAGCCUCUGGCUGACUGCUGGAACCCACCACGCACAGGAAUUCAUGACUGAGUGACAGCAGGAGCACUUCCCUCAUCACACAUGAUGCGCAGGCCACCCAGCGAGGCACUUCAUCUCCAGGUUGACAGUUCCUGGCUGACUCGGGUCUGCCACCUGGAAGAGCGUCUGUAAUUCUGUAUUGUGGAACAGAAAACAAUGUGCAGAAUACAUUCUUUAAAACAGAAGUACAAAGUAC
Molecule: long non-coding RNA, 1693 nt
Filed under: Homo sapiens (human)
Lineage: Eukaryota; Metazoa; Chordata; Mammalia; Primates; Hominidae
Description: HSALNT0116718
Source: RNAcentral